RNAcentral lists this ribosomal RNA (950 nucleotides) under Streptomyces sp. MAD06. Its description in RNAcentral is "bacterial SSU rRNA". It matches the Rfam family "Bacterial small subunit ribosomal RNA", at positions 46 to 1004 of the family's 1533-position model. The record is from RNAcentral. Lineage: Bacteria; Bacillati; Actinomycetota; Actinomycetes; Kitasatosporales; Streptomycetaceae.
ANNNNNUNNANUUGCCAACGUCUUAGCGAUUGAAGCCCUUCGGGGUGAGAUUAGUGGCGAACGGGUGAGUAACACGUGGGCAAUCUGCCCUGCACUCUGGGACAAGCCCUGGAAACGGGGUCUAAUACCGGAUAUGACCGUCCAUCGCAUGGUGGAUGGUGUAAAGCUCCGGCGGUGCAGGAUGAGCCCGCGGCCUAUCAGCUAGUUGGUGAGGUAGUGGCUCACCAAGGCGACGACGGGUAGCCGGCCUGAGAGGGCGACCGGCCACACUGGGACUGAGACACGGCCCAGACUCCUACGGGAGGCAGCAGUGGGGAAUAUUGCACAAUGGGCGAAAGCCUGAUGCAGCGACGCCGCGUGAGGGAUGACGGCCUUCGGGUUGUAAACCUCUUUCAGCAGGGAAGAAGCGAAAGUGACGGUACCUGCAGAAGAAGCGCCGGCUAACUACGUGCCAGCAGCCGCGGUAAUACGUAGGGCGCAAGCGUUGUCCGGAAUUAUUGGGCGUAAAGAGCUCGUAGGCGGCUUGUCACGUCGGUUGUGAAAGCCCGGGGCUUAACCCCGGGUCUGCAGUCGAUACGGGCAGGCUAGAGUUCGGUAGGGGAGAUCGGAAUUCCUGGUGUAGCGGUGAAAUGCGCAGAUAUCAGGAGGAACACCGGUGGCGAAGGCGGAUCUCUGGGCCGAUACUGACGCUGAGGAGCGAAAGCGUGGGGAGCGAACAGGAUUAGAUACCCUGGUAGUCCACGCCGUAAACGGUGGGCACUAGGUGUGGGCAACAUUCCACGUUGUCCGUGCCGCAGCUAACGCAUUAAGUGCCCCGCCUGGGGAGUACGGCCGCAAGGCUAAAACUCAAAGGAAUUGACGGGGGGCCCGCACAAGCGGCGGAGCAUGGUGGCUUAAUUCGACGCAACGCGAGACCUUACUCAGGCUUGACAUACACGGAAAGCAUCAGA